GACGUAGGGAGCGAGCGUUAUCCGGAUUCAUUGGGCGUAAAGCGCGCGUAGGCGGCUUUGCAAGUCGGGUGUGAAAACCAGAGGCUCAACCUCUGGCCUGCAUCCGAAACUGCAUCGCUAGAGGUAGGUAGGGGAGAUCGGAAUUCCUGGUGUAGCGGUGAAAUGCGCAGAUAUCAGGAGGAACACCGGUGGCGAAGGCGGAUCUCUGGGCCUUACCUGACGCUGAGGUGCGAAAGCUAGGGGAGCGAACAGG
RNAcentral lists this ribosomal RNA (253 nucleotides) under uncultured bacterium. Its description in RNAcentral is "partial 16S ribosomal RNA". It matches the Rfam family "Bacterial small subunit ribosomal RNA", at positions 524 to 776 of the family's 1533-position model. The record is from RNAcentral.